Long non-coding RNA from Artibeus jamaicensis (Jamaican fruit-eating bat), 393 nucleotides. RefSeq lists it as uncharacterized. Lineage: Eukaryota; Metazoa; Chordata; Mammalia; Chiroptera; Phyllostomidae. The record is from RefSeq and is a predicted model, not a curated record. The transcript has 3 exons.
CCCAUCUCCUGUCUUCCACCAGCGGAGGUAAUUUCGUAAGAAGGCGCCUCCCCAAACCUGCUGCCACACGUGGAGGGCUUGACUCUCCACAGCAAAGCUGCGAGAAACCAGAGGUACAGGAAGGAGCAUAAAGAAGCCACUCUCCCGCCACCGAUGGGACUGACCAUGGUGGACCCGGACUGGCAUGGGAGAGAAAGUGGGAGAGAGAAAGGGAGAGAGAGAGAAACAUGAAUGUGAGAGAUAAACAUCGAUUGGUUGCCUCCCAUACAUUCCAAGACUGCGGAUUGUAGAUGCCUGAACUGGGGAUCAAACCUGCAACCUAGGACCAUUGAAUAUGAGAAUGGGAAGGGACCUGAGCAGUAAUUUACUCCAACUCUGUGUACGAUGAACAGA